AAUCUUGUAGGUUUGGAAGAAUUGGAGGGACGGAACACCAUUGAACAUAAUAGAUCCAACAUUUGCGGAAUCAUACUCGAGAAAUGAAGUGAUGCAAUGUAUACAUAUCGGAUUGUUAUGUGUUCAAGAAGACGUUAAUGAAAGACCUACAAUGGAAGAAUUGGAGGGACGGAACACCAUUGAACAUAAUAGAUCCAACAUUUGCGGAAUCAUACUCGAGAAAUGAAGUGAUGCAAUGUAUACAUAUCGGAUUGUUAUGUGUUCAAGAAGACGUUAAUGAAAGACCUACAAUGGAAUCCGUGGUGCUCAUGCUUAAUAGUUACUCUAUUACCAAGCGAGCGCCUCAGCAACCUGCAUUCUUUUUUCGUAGUCAAUCAGAGAUGCUACCAAUUAAAGGGUUAGAGUCAGAUCAAUCUACAAGCAAGUC
RNAcentral lists this long non-coding RNA (427 nucleotides) under Capsicum annuum. RNAcentral describes it as "long non-coding RNA (CANN_LNC007460)". Lineage: Eukaryota; Viridiplantae; Streptophyta; Magnoliopsida; Solanales; Solanaceae. The record is from RNAcentral.